Molecule: RNA transcript, 4113 nt
Organism: Lucilia cuprina (Australian sheep blowfly)
Lineage: Eukaryota; Metazoa; Arthropoda; Insecta; Diptera; Calliphoridae
Gene: SWIP
Gene name: WASH complex subunit 4
Exons: 10
Source: RefSeq, a predicted model, not a curated record
GUUUUUCUGUUUAUUAUUAUUUUCCAUCGCUUUGUUUAUCUCAUUACAACAACAAAUUUCAAUAAUUUAUACAUUUUGGUAAUUUAAAUUAUUAUUAGUCAACCAUUAGAAAUGGAUCACAGCACAAUUAUCUCAUCAGCCGAAGAACAAUUACGAAAUUAUGGUGCCUUCUUAGAUGGUCAUGAUAAGAAAUUAACAAAAAUUCUCAAUAAAAACCAAGUAGCGAACAACGAGCGUCCCCUACUAAGGGAUCCCUUAGUACAGAUUAAUUAUGCUGCCCAGGAGGAGGAAUUUAUGUUGGUCAAGCUUUUGGAAUCGGAAAGAAUGCUUAAUAAGGUUCUACUGACCUUUGGUCAUUUGUGUGCUGAGAUUGAUGAUAUUAGUCGGGAGGCCAAAGAAAUGCAAUUGAAGUUUCUGUUUAAGGAUGAAGAGUUGCUGGUCAUUAUGCAGAAUAUUGUAGAGGAUGAAAAUGAAGGGGAUUUAAAUAAUAGGAACAGUAGUGUUAAUAACAACAAUAAUAUGGUCAUGUUGAAAAUGAGCGAAUCCAUGGAAUUUUUAUGUCAAAUGCAGUUUCUACUACAACGUUGCAUAUUGUUGGGUAAUAAUUUGCUGCAUCAGUGCGGUGCUGUGUUGGCACAUGAAAAGACUACAAAGGGAGUAGAAGUGAAAUUAGUGCACAUUUGUGAUUAUUUAUCGAAUUUGUUCUUGAACAUUUUAAUUUUUGAUGAGAUUUUAUAUCGUUCCAACUUCGCUCGAUAUUGGCCUUCUUACAAGAAAACUAUAGAAGCCAUUACUCAAAGUGGCACUUCGUGGGAUAAUUGCACUACAUCGGAACUUAAUGGUUUAAGAAAUUGUUUGCAGGAAUUGGAUUUCUUAUUUACCGGAUGUAUAUUUAGGCACUUUCUCGACAGUACGUUUAGCAUAAAAGAGAAGAUAGGUCCCCAAGGAGUGGGUCAUUUAAGCCAGCAAUUCAAUGAAUAUCUUAAACUACAACUACAAGAAAUCGAUAAAACGAAUCCGAGUGAAAUGAACGCCUUCAGCGAUACCUACAACAUAAUAAAACUCAACGCUUUCUGUGUAGUAUUCCAUGACUUUUGUGGUCAAGUCGAUACAAAAUCUAUUAAACUUUUAAUAGAAUUAAAUAGCAAACAUCAAGCCAUUGUGCUUAUUGGUAAUAUACCUUGGUCUUCAAGCUAUUUUUUACGCAAAAAUGCUUUAACUCUUAUUAAAACGCAUGAAAAACUAUUAAUGGAUUUUCGACGACAACAGCAACUAUUUCUACAGCAACAUGGUCAGAAAUUGACAAAAGAUUGCCGUUUAUAUUGUAGUGAAAUAAGUCUGUGGGUAUUGAAAAUUGAAAAAACGUUAAGUUGUGGACCCUUUGAAUUGCGUAUUGAACAAUUUAAGGAGUUGACAACAUUAUUGGUGCAAGGAAUGCGGACUUCAGGGCAUUUGAGUUAUUUAAUUAAGGGCAUAGUAAAUUCCCAUGAAAAUCUUCAAGUACCCAUGACUAAACAAACUCUAUUAGCAAUUUGUAAACUUUUGGAAAUGUUAAAAUUGAUUCAGUUGUGUUUCAACGAUCAUGCCACAAAUAUCGCUAAAGUAAUACAUUGCAUUUUACAGUAUUUUCAAUAUAAAGUAUUACAAUUGAUAAAUGCUUGCAAGAAAAAAAUCAUCUCCUCCAAGUUACGCGAUAAAAGUGUUGAUGCUUUAGCUGCUUUAAAAAUAACCGAACGUUGUCUUCAUGGCCCUCCCAGUAAAGUUCGCAUUUUAGUGGCGAAACUAGCUUUUGAUGCAUCCAGUGCUAAAUAUAAGAUUUUGUCAAGUGAACAACAAGAACGUUUUCGUAGCCUUAUUAAACGUAUAGAAAUGAUCAGUGAUUUACAAGAUAACAUACACGAAAUGUGUGAUACUUCAUUCCUCUUUUGGCAUCAAUCAAUUUUGAGAGCUUAUCUUAAACAAAUUGUUGAUAAAAAAUUAGACUUUAAUUCAUUCCAGUAUCUUAUACAAGCCUCAACUGAAUGUGGCGAUUCGUUAAAUUUCCUUAAUCUCAAAGAUUUAAAUGUUUCCAAAGAUUUACAAAAAUCCACUUAUGAAAGUAUACGUUCUGAGAUUAUAAGUAAAUUAUGUGCUCAAAUUGAAAUAUUUUUGCGUUUAGAAGUACAUGCCAAUCUGCAAGUUGAGAAAAUGAAUCCCUUCGAACAGGGCAUUAAUGAUUAUCAAGAAUUGAUAAAUGUUUGCCCUUUACAAGUAAAUGGCAAUUAUAUAAUCUUAAAAGAUCACAUAGAAAAUUAUUUGAGUGCCAUGUUUUAUAACUUAACUACCAUAUCACUGCACGAUUGGAAAACCUAUGAAGAAAUGAGACAUUUAGCUAAUUAUCGUUUAUUACUCCAUCCUGUCGAAGAUUAUUUACCCAAUCAAACCUUAGAACAGGGUAUAGAUAUUUUAGAGAUUAUGCGUAAGAUACAUAUUUUCGUUUCCAAAUAUGUUUAUAAUAUGAAUUCUCAAAUAUUUGUGGAACAACAAAGUUCCAACAAGCACUUGGAUACUAUAGGUAUACGACAUGUGGCGAAUUCUUUGAGGACCCAUGGCACCGGAGUGAUAAAUACCACCGUCAAUUUUACCUAUCAGUUUUUAAGGCAAAAAUUCUAUACAUUUUCACAAUUUCUUUACGAUGAACAAAUAAAAGCUCGUUUAAUGAAGGAGUUGAGAUCAUUUGCUGAACGUAAACAACAGGAUGAGUAUCCUUUGUAUCCGUAUGAACGGGCAGAUGCUUUUAAUAAGGACAUUCGCAAAUUAGGUUUAGCGAAUGAUGGUCAAACAUAUAUGGAUUUGUUUAGGAAAGUCAUAACACAUGUGGGCAAUGCAAUGGGUUAUAUCCGUUUAGUACGUUCCGGCAGUAUACAUGCCAAUUAUAGCGCCAGUUUAUAUUUACCAAAGUUUGAUGAAAACUUAAAAUUUGUACCCCAAUGUAAUGAGCAACAAUUGAGUGAGGUAGUACAAAUGGCUGCUGAAAAUGUUGAAACAAAUAUUAAAAAUCUAGCUAAAAGUUUUGCAGAUAAUACGGAUUAUUUUAAGCUUCUCGUUGAGGCCUUUCAGCCCUUCUUUCGCAAUCCCCACAAUUUACACUUGCGCAAUUUCUAUCUAAUUGUUCCUCCUCUUAUCAUGAACUAUGUGGAGUAUAUGCUGGCUGUUAAAUCCAAAAUAAAUAAAAAAGAUCGCGAAGAAGCUGUUCUUUUCGAUGAUGGUUUCGCCGUAGGUCUAACCUAUAUACUAAAGCUGCUAAAUCAAAUCGGAGACUUUAAUUCACUCGAGUGGUUCUCAACUGUACGAGAACGUUUUGAAGCUGAAAGACGAAAAAUAAAAGAAAUGUUACUGGAGAUAAAUAGUGUUGCUAAUAACACGGCCGCUAGAGCAAAUACAAAUACUGCAGCCAAACAGGCGAGUGAAAAUGAAAAACUACAACAAACAUUAGUGCUAACGGAAAGACGUAUUAAUGCUCAUCAAAUGGAAUAUAAUUUAUUGCGUUAUAAUUUAUGCAGUGCUAAGAUAUUUUUUCAAUAAGUGAAAAAUGAAAACAGAUCUCACUCCACGAGAUGUUGUGCGUUUGUCUCUAAACUCUACAAACUUAAAUCAUUUCAACGAAGGAUACUGGAACCAGUUCUUUAAACAAUGACAUUUGUUUGAAUUUAGUCAACCUAUAGGAUAAUUCGGGGACUUUCUAUUCUCUCUGCUUUUUACAAAAGCUAUAGGAAACUAGAAGAUAAACGCUAUAUUUUAUAAGUUUCAAUACUCCCGGUAUAGUGCACUGGCAGUUUCUUAGAGAUCUGUUAUAGCACUACAAUGUCACAGAGAACAAACUCUACAAGUAAGUUUAAGUUAAGAUCUUAACCAAUAUUAAUUAUAUCUAAGACAAACAAAAAGGUUCUAUAUUAUUAAAGAAAAGUUUUGAUAUCAAAAUUUAUCUGAAUAUAGCACACAUUUUCAAAAAGGCCUCGACCUAGAAUGUAUAUUUUUUAUCUAAAUUCCAUAAAUUUAGUAAAAUUAUUGAGACAAGUAUAUUAUUUUAAAUAACUAAACAUUGUUAAAUUAUUCAAUUUUUAUAAAAAUGCA